GGGUUGUGAGGUUAAGCGACUAAGCGUACACGGUGGAUGCCCUGGCAGUCAGAGGCGAUGAAGGACGUGCUAAUCUGCGAUAAGCGUCGGUAAGGUGAUAUGAACCGUUAUAACCGGCGAUUUCCGAAUGGGGAAACCCAGUGUGUUUCGACACACUAUCAUUAACUGAAUCCAUAGGUUAAUGAGGCGAACCGGGGGAACUGAAACAUCUAAGUACCCCGAGGAAAAGAAAUCAACCGAGAUUCCCCCAGUAGCGGCGAGCGAACGGGGAGGAGCCCAGAGCCUGAAUCAGUGUGUGUGUUAGUGGAAGCGUCUGGAAAGGCGCGCGAUACAGGGUGACAGCCCCGUACACAAAAAUGCACAUGCUGUGAGCUCGAUGAGUAGGGCGGGACACGUGGUAUCCUGUCUGAAUAUGGGGGGACCAUCCUCCAAGGCUAAAUACUCCUGACUGACCGAUAGUGAACCAGUACCGUGAGGGAAAGGCGAAAAGAACCCCGGCGAGGGGAGUGAAAAAGAACCUGAAACCGUGUACGUACAAGCAGUGGGAGCACGCUUAGGCGUGUGACUGCGUACCUUUUGUAUAAUGGGUCAGCGACUUAUAUUCUGUAGCAAGGUUAACCGAAUAGGGGAGCCGAAGGGAAACCGAGUCUUAACUGGGCGUUAAGUUGCAGGGUAUAGACCCGAAACCCGGUGAUCUAGCCAUGGGCAGGUUGAAGGUUGGGUAACACUAACUGGAGGACCGAACCGACUAAUGUUGAAAAAUUAGCGGAUGACUUGUGGCUGGGGGUGAAAGGCCAAUCAAACCGGGAGAUAGCUGGUUCUCCCCGAAAGCUAUUUAGGUAGCGCCUCGUGAAUUCAUCUCCGGGGGUAGAGCACUGUUUCGGCAAGGGGGUCAUCCCGACUUACCAACCCGAUGCAAACUGCGAAUACCGGAGAAUGUUAUCACGGGAGACACACGGCGGGUGCUAACGUCCGUCGUGAAGAGGGAAACAACCCAGACCGCCAGCUAAGGUCCCAAAGUCAUGGUUAAGUGGGAAACGAUGUGGGAAGGCCCAGACAGCCAGGAUGUUGGCUUAGAAGCAGCCAUCAUUUAAAGAAAGCGUAAUAGCUCACUGGUCGAGUCGGCCUGCGCGGAAGAUGUAACGGGGCUAAACCAUGCACCGAAGCUGCGGCAGCGACGCUGAUGCGUUGUUGGGUAGGGGAGCGUUCUGUAAGCCUGCGAAGGUGUGCUGUGAGGCAUGCUGGAGGUAUCAGAAGUGCGAAUGCUGACAUAAGUAACGAUAAAGCGGGUGAAAAGCCCGCUCGCCGGAAGACCAAGGGUUCCUGUCCAACGUUAAUCGGGGCAGGGUGAGUCGACCCCUAAGGCGAGGCCGAAAGGCGUAGUCGAUGGGAAACAGGUUAAUAUUCCUGUACUUGGUGUUACUGCGAAGGGGGGACGGAGAAGGCUAUGUUGGCCGGGCGACGGUUGUCCCGGUUUAAGCGUGUAGGCUGGUUUUCCAGGCAAAUCCGGAAAAUCAAGGCUGAGGCGUGAUGACGAGGCACUACGGUGCUGAAGCAACAAAUGCCCUGCUUCCAGGAAAAGCCUCUAAGCAUCAGGUAACAUCAAAUCGUACCCCAAACCGACACAGGUGGUCAGGUAGAGAAUACCAAGGCGCUUGAGAGAACUCGGGUGAAGGAACUAGGCAAAAUGGUGCCGUAACUUCGGGAGAAGGCACGCUGAUAUGUAGGUGAAGUCCCUCGCGGAUGGAGCUGAAAUCAGUCGAAGAUACCAGCUGGCUGCAACUGUUUAUUAAAAACACAGCACUGUGCAAACACGAAAGUGGACGUAUACGGUGUGACGCCUGCCCGGUGCCGGAAGGUUAAUUGAUGGGGUCAGCGCAAGCGAAGCUCUUGAUCGAAGCCCCGGUAAACGGCGGCCGUAACUAUAACGGUCCUAAGGUAGCGAAAUUCCUUGUCGGGUAAGUUCCGACCUGCACGAAUGGCGUAAUGAUGGCCAGGCUGUCUCCACCCGAGACUCAGUGAAAUUGAACUCGCUGUGAAGAUGCAGUGUACCCGCGGCAAGACGGAAAGACCCCGUGAACCUUUACUAUAGCUUGACACUGAACAUUGAGCCUUGAUGUGUAGGAUAGGUGGGAGGCUUAGAAGUGUGGACGCCAGUCUGCAUGGAGCCGACCUUGAAAUACCACCCUUUAAUGUUUGAUGUUCUAACGUUGACCCGUAAUCCGGGUUGCGGACAGUGUCUGGUGGGUAGUUUGACUGGGGCGGUCUCCUCCUAAAGAGUAACGGAGGAGCACGAAGGUUGGCUAAUCCUGGUCGGACAUCAGGAGGUUAGUGCAAUGGCAUAAGCCAGCUUGACUGCGAGCGUGACGGCGCGAGCAGGUGCGAAAGCAGGUCAUAGUGAUCCGGUGGUUCUGAAUGGAAGGGCCAUCGCUCAACGGAUAAAAGGUACUCCGGGGAUAACAGGCUGAUACCGCCCAAGAGUUCAUAUCGACGGCGGUGUUUGGCACCUCGAUGUCGGCUCAUCACAUCCUGGGGCUGAAGUAGGUCCCAAGGGUAUGGCUGUUCGCCAUUUAAAGUGGUACGCGAGCUGGGUUUAGAACGUCGUGAGACAGUUCGGUCCCUAUCUGCCGUGGGCGCUGGAGAACUGAGGGGGGCUGCUCCUAGUACGAGAGGACCGGAGUGGACGCAUCACUGGUGUUCGGGUUGUCAUGCCAAUGGCACUGCCCGGUAGCUAAAUGCGGAAGAGAUAAGUGCUGAAAGCAUCUAAGCACGAAACUUGCCCCGAGAUGAGUUCUCCCUGAC
RNAcentral lists this ribosomal RNA (2802 nucleotides) under Escherichia coli. RNAcentral's name for it is "partial 23S ribosomal RNA". It matches the Rfam family "Bacterial large subunit ribosomal RNA". Lineage: Bacteria; Pseudomonadati; Pseudomonadota; Gammaproteobacteria; Enterobacterales; Enterobacteriaceae. The record is from RNAcentral.